RNAcentral lists this unclassified non-coding RNA (321 nucleotides) under Hevea brasiliensis (rubber tree). The record is from RNAcentral. Lineage: Eukaryota; Viridiplantae; Streptophyta; Magnoliopsida; Malpighiales; Euphorbiaceae.
GGCGAUUUCAGUGUUAGUCAGGUUUUUGAGGAUGAUAACGAUGAGCUUCGCAGGUCACCUGGAACUCCAGUUUUUACUGCACCAGAAUGUUGUUUGGGCCUGACAUACCACGGUAGAGCUGCCGAUACAUGGGCUGUGGGAGUUACCUUGUAUUACAUGGUUUCGGGUCAAUAUCCAUUUCUCGGAGAGACGCUGCAGGAUACCUAUGAUAAGAUUGUCAACAACCCGCUGAUAAUUCCUGAUAACGUCCACACAGAGCUGAAGGACCUACUGGAGCAGCUGCUUUGCAAAGAUCCUAGACAACGAAUCCGCCAGCGGGUU